RNAcentral lists this ribosomal RNA (104 nucleotides) under uncultured bacterium. Its description in RNAcentral is "partial 16S ribosomal RNA". It matches the Rfam family "Bacterial small subunit ribosomal RNA", at positions 1379 to 1482 of the family's 1533-position model. The record is from RNAcentral.
CCUUGUACACACCGCCCGUCACACCAUGGGAGCGGGUUCUGCCAGAAGUGGGUAGCCUAACCGCAAGGAGGGCGCUUACCACGGCAGGGUUCGUGACUGGGGUG